RNAcentral lists this long non-coding RNA (599 nucleotides) under Homo sapiens (human). Its description in RNAcentral is "non-protein coding lnc-SHANK2-1:5". Lineage: Eukaryota; Metazoa; Chordata; Mammalia; Primates; Hominidae. The record is from RNAcentral.
GCAGCUGGCUAAGCGCUAGCCCGGCCUGUGGCGAGUCUGCAGAGCUCGCCCGGAAGUAGCGUUGCGCGCGCAGAGGAUGGGCGCUGAGCAGCACACAGCCCGCGGCGGGGUCUCAGGAUCCGCGGCGCUGCCCGGGGCCGGGGGAAGGAAGCCAGCCGAGGAGACGCACGUGCCCUGAGUCCGGGAGCGGGGAGCCUCUUCAUCUCUCCAUCCUCCCUCCGCGCGCGCCCUCAGCCGUCCUCGUCCGCUCACCAUGCACCUCCCCUCCAAGAAAGGGCCACAUGCGUGCCAGGGACGCGAGCCCCGGCCACAGGGACAUAGCAGCCUAGAAGAUAUAUAAUGAUUAUUCUGAAGCCCUCAAAUACAGUCCAUUCGGGAAAGCCUCUAGAACUGCCUGUCCACGCCUCAUGGCUGCAAUGUGCCACUGAGACAUACACCCUGACCACAGAAGGCCAGUGGCGUCGCACGACAUUUCGGCAAGCUGUCUGAACAUACAGAAUGCAAAACAGUUGGGAUAGAGUUUUUGGUGAGUUAAAGAAUUGAGAAGCUGAAAAUUCAAAUAUACAGUACUCAAGAAGAGGCUUAAUUCCUUAGGAUUC